RNAcentral lists this ribosomal RNA (621 nucleotides) under uncultured Tomentella. RNAcentral's name for it is "eukaryotic LSU rRNA". The stretch from base 269 to 423 matches the Rfam family "5.8S ribosomal RNA". Lineage: Eukaryota; Fungi; Basidiomycota; Agaricomycetes; Thelephorales; Thelephoraceae. The record is from RNAcentral.
UCUUGGUCAUUUAGAGGAAGUAAAAGUCGUAACAAGGUUUCCGUAGGUGAACCUGCGGAAGGAUCAUUACCGAAUUGUCAAACGGGUUGUUGCUGGUCCUUGAAAGGGGACAUGUGCACGCUCUGUUUACACAUCCACUCAUACCUGUGCACCCUCCGUAGUUCUAUGGUCUGGGAGACCUUGUCUUCCUGCCGUGGUUCUACGUCUUUACACACACACUGUAACAAAGUCUUAAGGAAUGUAUGCAGCGUCUAACGCAAUACAAUACAACUUUCAGCAACGGAUCUCUUGGCUCUCGCAUCGAUGAAGAACGCAGCGAAAUGCGAUAAGUAGUGUGAAUUGCAGAAUUCAGUGAAUCAUCGAAUCUUUGAACGCACCUUGCGCCCCUUGGCUAUUCCGAGGGGCAUGCCUGUUUGAGUAUCAUGAACACCUCAACUCUCAUGGUUCGCCGUGAUGAGCUUGGACUCUGGGGGAUUUGCUGGCCUGCGGUCAGCUCCCCUCAAAUGAAUCAGCCUCCCAGUGUUUGGUGGCAUCACGGGUGUGAUAAAUAUCUACGCUCGUGGUUGCCUGCCAGGUAACCUUUGGUGACAAAGGUUUGCUGGAGCUUACAGAUGUCUCUCC